RNAcentral lists this ribosomal RNA (800 nucleotides) under uncultured bacterium. RNAcentral's name for it is "bacterial SSU rRNA". It matches the Rfam family "Bacterial small subunit ribosomal RNA", at positions 28 to 897 of the family's 1533-position model. The record is from RNAcentral.
GAUGAACGCUGGCGGCGUGCUUAACACAUGCAAGUCGAACGGUGAAGGGGAGCUUGCUCUCUGGAUCAGUGGCGAACGGGUGAGUAACACGUGAGCAAUCUGCCCCUGACUCUGGGAUAACAGUUGGAAACAGCUGCUAAUACUGGAUACGAGACGUGAAGGCAUCUUCAACGUCUGGAAAGAAUUUCGGUCAGGGAUGAGCUCGCGGCCUAUCAGCUUGUUGGUGAGGUAACGGCUCACCAAGGCGUCGACGGGUAGCCGGCCUGAGAGGGUGACCGGCCACACUGGGACUGAGACACGGCCCAGACUCCUACGGGAGGCAGCAGUGGGGAAUAUUGCGCAAUGGGCGGAAGCCUGACGAAGCGUGAGUGACGGUAGGGGUAGAAGAAGCACCGGCCAACUACGUGCCAGCAGCCGCGGUAACACGUAGGGUGCGAGCGUUGUCCGGAAUUAUUGGGCGUAAAGAGCUCGUAGGCGGUGUGUCGCGUCGGCCGUGAAAACCUGCAGCUUAACUGUGGGCUUGCGGUCGAUACGGGCAUCACUGGAGUUCGGCAGGGGAGACUGGAAUUCCUGGUGUAGCGGUGAAAUGCGCAGAUAUCANGAGGAACACCGGUGGCGAAGGCGGGUCUCUGGGCCGAUACUGACGCUGANGAGCGAAAGCGUGGGGAGCGAACAGGAUUANAUACCCUGGUAGUCCACGCCGUAAACGUUGGGCGCUAGGUGUGGGGGSNNUUCCACGGUCUCUGUGCCGUAGCUAACGCAUUAAGCGCCCCGCCUGGGGAGUACGGCCGCAAGGCUAA